RNAcentral lists this long non-coding RNA (8837 nucleotides) under Canis lupus familiaris (dog). Its description in RNAcentral is "lncRNA (ENSCAFG00000055536.1)". The record is from RNAcentral. Lineage: Eukaryota; Metazoa; Chordata; Mammalia; Carnivora; Canidae.
AAAAAAAAAAAAAGAAAUAACUGUUAACUCCAAGGGAGCACCACCCACAGAACCUCCACCAACUGACAGUUUCUCUUCUUGACUUGCCACCCAUCGCUGGAUGUUGUCCACUUUAUCCACCAUAUAAAACAGUAAGCAGCUGCUAAAAACAAAAAACAAAAAAAAUACAAAAAGUAAUAACAUUAUAUGAACUGUGUUUCCUACUUGAUUAAAAAAUAUAAAGAACUGAGUGUUUAUUUCCCUAAUUAACCAAGAACUUUUGUACACGUUUAAGCUAUUAUUAUUAAAAGUGUUUGCAAAAUGGUCAAGAUUAUAAUAUUGCUGAAUUAUAUAAAAGUCCUUUUCAUGUUGAGCUAACAUUUGACUUUAGCACAAAAAAAGAGAUAUUUUAGAACACGUAAAAUAAUAUUUUUAGUUUUUCUCAUUUUGUUACCAAAUUUCAAACCUUACAUGGAGGUUAUUAUAGUAUAUUUGACACCCUAUAUACCUGUGAUUAGAGAUGUGUAUAUAUAUGAGGGCUAGGCAUGCUGUGUGUCUGAGCUUUGUCUAAAUGUUAUGCAGAAGUUUGUAGAGUUAAAGGUACGUAGGUUUAAUUCAUGCAAGGUAAACAAUAAGUGCUCUCUUUUAUACAAUAUGCAUUGCAUCUGGACCUUAAACAUAAAAAUGGUCAGUGAAACUUCUGUGAACAUGAAGAAAUUAUUAAAAAAGGCAUUUAAAUGAAAUUUGCUAAGUUGUGAUUUUUAUGGUUGGAACCAAAGUUAUUCAAAUAGUAAAAGGAAAAAGAGAAAGAAAGAAAAAGGAAAUCUCCCAUGAUAUUUUUCUGCAUCUGUUUGCUUUGACUGAGUAGGUGUUUUGUCAUUAUUGUGUAUAUGAGAUGUAUCGUUCAUAAUAUAUUUUUUUUAUUAUGUGUAGAAAGAUUUUAAAAACUAACGUGCAGCAAUUUCCAGUGAACCUGUACUUGGACAUCAGGUAGCGAGUCUAUUUGUGGUCACUAGCACUGUCUCCUAAACUAGUAAGAGGUCUGAAGCUAUUCUUUGAUUUUUGCCAGUGCUAUUAACUUAUGUAGACCUGUUAAAAAGCAGAGCAACACAAUUAUAGUUAUCCUACUGAGCCAUGGAUUCUGAGUUUCAUUUUAAAAGUGAAAGCCAAGUUGGUAUGUGUAAAGGAUUUCCAUGUAGCUGUGGUGCUAGUUAUUACUGGCUACAUUAUAUGCUAAGUGUAUUUGUGUUCCCCAAGUGUACAAGCCUUCUAUCAAAAGUGUGUUCUAUAACUCAUAUAUUCAAGGUGUAGGGUAUGAAAAUGCAAAGCUUAGGAGAGCACUUUCCCAAGCUGGUGUCCUCCAAACUGAAAUUGUUUGUAACGAUAGUCUUUUACAGGUUUUCAUUUAAAGAUGUUCGUGUGCUUUUAAUUGACAACUAACUUCUUGCUGCUGUAUAGUAAAAUAUUAAUAUAUUUUUAUCAUUAAACUGCUGCAUGACUAUCAUCUUUGAGUGAAGAGAAAAUGUUAUAAAAAAAAAGAUGCCUUAAACAGUACAUUUUGGUUUGGAAUUCUGUAGAAAAUAUUUUGGUUAAAAAAAAAGGAUCUUGUCUGAUAUAGAGAGUUCUGGGGAUGGAAUUGUUUCUUGGCAAAUCCAGCCAUAUAGAUCUUACUGCUGUAUGUAGAAGACACCACCUGUAGGAGCUGGAAGGUAUCAGUGCUUCUCACAUUGUAAAGCAUUGGCCUAGGAAGGUGAAAGAGUUGUCUUUUUGAAGGAUUUUUUUUUUUUUCUUCUGCUGGUUCUUUGGGUUUUGAUUUGAUAUUUUAAGCUCCCUGGUUGAGUGUGUUGUCUUUGUUUUUGAGAUCUACUGUAUGUGUUGAAUAACAAGCUAUUUCCAUUGUACUGUGCAUUUUCCCAUUAAAUUGUUUGCUUUUAAUAUUCAUACAAUGUUAAAUAUGAGGUGACCGUACAAUAGUUAGGAAUUUCUUUACUUACAAAAAUCACUGGAAAUUAUUAAAUUGCUUUUCCCCUUCCCCCAAGGUGCAUUUUUCUUAUUUCCAUAUAGUAAAGUUGAGCUUUUACAGUGCAUAAUGUGACAUUUGGAAUGCUUAUCAACUGCAUGUAAACAUUAAUAACCUGCACUUUUUUGUCUUAAGGUUUGUUGAGCUGUUUUGUUCACUGUACUUUUACUGUGAUUUGGAAAAGACUGCAUUCUCUGUGCUGUUACUAGUUAGGAAAGAGAAUUGCUUUGAUUUUGUCUCUUGUUUACUAUAGCUUCUUAAAGUUAAGCCUUGUACUACAGGUUGUUGGAGUACUCCUAGAUCAGUGUUUCAUAGUAGCCAGCAAUAAGUAGUGCAAGUCAACAAAAACACAGCAAACUUAGGCAAAGUGUCCUUUCUUUGAGAUGCGAGUUCUUUCAUGAGGUUUUCUUUAGGGUCAUAGUUACCUAAAGUGAAGCCUUUCUUACCUACAGACUUCAGAUUCUGCUUGGAAUCCUACCGGAUCAAUAAGCACAUGUAUUGUGCAAUUGUCUUUACACUAUAACAGUUAAACACAAUCUUACUAAGAUUUUGGAACCAGUGUCUGAUUUAUGGUCAGUGGGUUUAAAAAGAAAUCCACAUGCAAAUCUUUUAAGACUUAAGAGGUGAUCUUAGAAAAGACUAAGUGACUGUAUAAAGAUGCUCUUUUUUGCAUCUCACUUUACCUCCCCAAGCACCCUCCCAGCCUUCCCUUUCCUAUACUGUUUCAUCCUUUCCCUACCCAUCCUCCCAGGUGCUCGGUACAUUACCAAGGUUCUAUAUCAGUGUUUUAUGUUGGAGUUUUUCCUUGUUUUUAUUUUACUAGUUGGUAAAACCCUGUUUGUGCUGAAAUGAAAAAGGAAACGGUAUAUUUGACCAUAUGUGUUAUUCAUAGAAGACAGUAUGAUCAAAUGUGCCAAAAACAAGCAAACAAAACUUAAUUCCUGAUAUGUAUGCCUUAUUUUUAAUGAUCUGCUUUGUCUUACGAUUAAGGUCCAAGAGCUUGGUUAAACUAUAUUAUUUGCCUAAGUAUAACAGAAAACUUGAAAUGCAUUGCAAUAUUGACGUUCUUUACAAUGAGAGACACUGUCAAGUAAUUUAAUCCAGAGAUCAGCCACCAGAUUUGAAAUGCCCAUAUAUGUGUGUGUGUUUGGUGUUGUUCUUUUUUUUUUUUUUCUUUUUAAAUCACCAAAUCUUUUUUUUAAGCUACUUUUUAUUUGUGCCUCCUAUUUAUCAUGCUGAUGUUAGAAGCAGCAGUCAUCCAGCCACAGAGGGAGCUAAAGUUAACUAACCAGAACUGUAGAAAUCAUACAUGCCUUUGACAACAAAGGAAGUUCAUAAGAAAAGCCAUGUCGGCUUUUCCUUUACUAGAUACAGAUUGAAGGUAGAUGAAUAUUUGCCAAAUGGAAAGGAGAGACAAUGUGAGUCAGGAAAGACAAACUUUCCCAGCUUCCUAAAAGCCAUGGAGAGUAGAAACCAAAACCAACAGGGAAAUAAAAACCUUGAAAGUCUCACUUUCUAGUCCCAUGCAGGGGUUGAAAUUUGACUCAAAGUGGAAAAUAUAUCAAUCUGUUUUUUAGGUCUUCACAUCUAGAGAAGGAUAACUAUUCCAAUUUGAUUUUUCGGGUAAUGGAGAAAGCUGCUAGUAAUUUUAACCCCUGCCUAAAGAAGACAGAUAAUUUCAUUUGGGAGCAAAUACUUAUUGCCUUGAAAAAUAGCACUGUAAUAGCCUAUGAUAAUUAGUUGUAGAAUAACCUUUAUCCCUUUUAAACUAUGCAAAUUAUUAAAUAAGUGUAAAUUAGGACUCAAUUAAAGAUAGUUGAUUAUAUUGCAAUCAGAUGGCAUUCACAAACUUAACUGGAGCAUAUACAAAUGAAAUCUAUUAGUCUAAGAGUUUUGUAUGCUAACAGAAAAGUAUAAUUUAGCUACCUAUUCUAAAAAUGGUGAAUAUUAUUAAUAUUGUAUAAUAGGACUGGGAAGACUGCCUCCUUUUUGAAGAGAGAAAGAUUAAGGAUUUUUAUAAUUGUUUUUCAUCAAAUUUUAAUAUUUUUGUCAAAUUUUUAGGUAUUUAAUUUGUAAAAGUUUGCUUUGUACUGGCAUACAGAAAAUAGGGUAUUGAUUUUAAACUUUUUGAAGCCAAGUGAUCAAGUACAUUUGUAAUAAAAGUCAAUGGAUCUAUAUCAGUUGUACUCACUGUUUUCAUUUCUUACUCUUAUUAAUAUAGGAAUGCUAUACUUUUUCUGCAGGAACACUGUACUAAAUUUGGGUGGAAGGGAGGGGAAAAGAUAAGUCCGUUGAUAAUGAGAAUCUGGGUGGGUACCAUGGCCCCAAACACUUUAUAUAAUCUUUGAGUCAGUUAAGAUUUGGUAUUGAAAAGAUGCAUGUCAGUUUUUUUACUUCCUAUUUUCAUACGGAAUUUGAUGUUUGUGAGGGUUAUCUCAUUCAUUGUUUCUGUGCUUUAACAUUUUGCAUUGGGCACUGUUGAAGCUUUCUAAACAUAUUUUUCUUUUAUGACAUUUUGGGUUAUAUGCCAGCCAUGGUGAGCUCACCAUGGGCAUGAUUAUUACUUCUAUCUCCCAUGUAUGGUUCACCCUUUCUUCUUCAAUAUUCCCACUCAGUUUUUCAUAUUUCACACGCAUGCACACACGCUUCCAGGUGAUUUUAGAAUGGAGAUUUCUGAAGUUGUUGCUGUAGUUGUUUUCAUAGCUCCACAAUUCAUUUUAUUUUACAUGUGAACAUACUUUUAAUAUUUUUCUCCAUUAAAAAAAUAAGAUACCAAAUCUAAUGACUUUUUUUCCCUUUUCUGAGUUUUUUCAAUAUCAGAAUGAGAUCCUGCUUUCUACGUAAAAGGAUGCUAAAAAAGGGAAUUUUUAGCAACUUAGGUAUAGAACAAUUGGUGAUAACUCUGAGUAUAAAUUUUAUAGUUGGUUAUCCUUAAAUUUGAAUAUUUUAAUAAUUUGGAGAGAUACAUACUUUUUCAUGGGAGUGGAAUGAAUAAGAAAGAAUUUAUUGGAAUCACUUAAGUGAGAAAAUUCACUGAUUUAUGCAAAGUUUUCUGUUAAAAUGUAUCCAUGUUUAAAUCAUACAUUAUUAUUAUAAUGUAUGUAUAAUAUUUCUGGGUUUUUAAUUGCAAAUUAACUGAAUUUAAACCAUUUGUAAUAAGGUACACUAUUAAACUAAAAUGAUCACUGCUAUUAUAAUUACUGUUUCCAUCUAGCUGCUUUAAUUACCAUAGAGAAUUUGCAAUAUAUUUUUAAGAAAAGUUGAUUUUAAUAUUUAGGGAGUUAUUUGAUCCUAAAAACCUAAAUUUAAGGCCUAGGCCAUUUGAUAGACUCUUUUCAAAGAGAAAUUUCUUUAUUAUGGGUUAAGUGAAGAUCAUCUAAACUAGCAUUAUCAUGUCAGGUAGAAUUUCAUAAUGGAAAAACAGCCAAGAGAAUAGUAAAAGAUAAUGGUUUUAAGCCAACAAUUUGUCAUCUUACAGCUGCUAAAUUGACUACCAAGUUUUGAUGUUGAAUGGUCUAGGUAAUUUAUGUCUUUAGGAAAGCUUGAGUAUGGUCAUUUGUUAGAAAUCCUUUUCUUUAAAAAAUUUCAUAGUUACUCAUGUAUUUUUAUUUUGUCCCUACAUUACGUUUGGUAUUUGUAUUUUUCUUUUCUUUUUUCCCCUGAUGUGCUUUGCUUUUGUGGAAAAUUGUCUUGUUUGAUAGGUAGAAACAUGGUGGUGAUCUUCGAUGUAAAAUAAAGUUCAUUUUUAAGGACCAGAUAUAUUUUACUCAUUUUGGAAUUGCAAGAUUUUUGAAUUUUUCAUGAAAGCAUACUUUGUUUUGAUGAUUAUUAACAAUUUUCUUAUUGAUUAAAAUUUUAUAGCAUUUCAUGGGGAAAACUUUAGCUAAGAAUUUAAUUGUCUUGAUUUCGGGUGCACUUUAAUAAUUCAAGAGGCCUCCAAGUUCAAGGACCAAAUCUUUAUAUUCUGGAGUUUUGAGAAUCAUGGAAGUACUCUUUUUAACAUCUGUUUUAGUCUAAACUGGAUUAAAACAGAAGGAUCCUCAGAGGACUUAAGAUGUCCUUAUUGUGAAGUAGCAAACUUAUGGGACAGAUGACUUAAUGUAUUCACCUUGACUAGCUCAACCAGUUAGGAGUAUCAGCUAAUGAAUUAUUGGACACAUGUUGGUAUUGGGUCAAGCUCUCAUUCAGCUGGAGUGGAUUGGCAGUUUCCAGCGUAGGUAGUUGUUGGUGGCAUUUGACCUACCUUCCUACCAUAUACAUUUGGCUUUUUUUUUUCCCCUCCCAUCCUCCUUUUUCCUUGUUUCUCUCUCCAUCUUUAUUCUUCUUGCCAUAGGCCUGCCAGUGACACUCAAACUUACCCCUUUAAAGGGAAAGUGAAGAAAUUGCUGGCUCCUGCCUUAGCACAUGGCUAACCGAUCUCAGAAAGAUUUCUGUAUAAUGAGCUAAUUGGGCAGUUUUUCUGACUGCUAUUUUCCCCAUAGUCUUAAGUUGGCAAUCAGAAGAGCGGUGAAAUUGUUAAGAAAUUUGUGUAUUGAAGAGAGUAAGAAGUAUGUGUAUUUUAGGUAAGUUACUGGGGGCUGAUAUUUACUGGUUUGGAAAUUUGAGAGCAGAAAGGGAAGAACUGUUUAAUGUGUUCAUGAAUGGGAGUGUGAGAGUUCUAUAAGGGAAUGAUUUGAAGGUAAAGUGGGAGAAAUUUUUAUUGGAGGUAGGGAAAGAUACUAAAAUGGAGUCUUAAAUGAGCGCUGUUUGCUAAGGACAAUGAAGUUGAUCUUCACUAAUGAAGUUUCAAUAAGCCAGAGAAAAUGGGUCCCUUGUUGGUUAUGAGAAAGCUGUUGGUCUGUAGCUAGAUGUUAUGAUGAUGAUGCAUUAUACAAAUCUGCUUUCAGGUGUAGGAUAUUUGCUUUUCUGGACAAAUUAAAUAGCACAAUUGUGGAAGACAGCUUCUCUGGUCAAAGCUUGUUGGUACUGGGGACUUGCUAUUUCAAGGGAAAGAAGAAAAUUUCAAACUUUUUCAGUUACAAUUUUUAAAUUAUCAGAAAUAUUUAUUAUACAGACUAUUUUCCUGGGCUCAUGUUAUACUGUAGUCUAGCUUUACUUUUCAAAAGGGUCCUUAGAGUAAAUCAUUUGAUUUUACAGUUCACAAAGAUCCAUAUCCUAUCUUGAUUUUACAGAACCUUGAGCCUUUGGUCCAUAUUAAUUUCUUACAAAAGAGUAAACUAGGUAAAAACACUAAACUGCAAUUUUAGGUAUCUUUUCCAUUUCUUUUACAUUUGCAGUCCCAUGUUUUAAGACUGUAGACCUUAUGAAACCCUCUAUAAUACUAUAUUUUUCAAUUUAGACAAUGUACCCCCUUAAGCUCAAAUUUCUGUUUGUAUUUCCACUUUCUCUGUUACUUUAAAAUUAUGUAAUUCCCCAGUGUUUUUAGUGGUGGCAUAUGAUUUUAAUAUAAUUUAGUGUAUCUUGGAAGUUCUUAUGUUCUUUGUAGGAUGAACUGAUAGUAUUUAGAUUUCUGUUCCCAGUAUCCCAGGAACAUUUUUAAUUAUUUAAGAUAAAGAAUUGCUGUAAUAUUUUGUUUUAUAGAUUAUAUAAUUCAAGUGUAUUUGGACUCCUUUUUAGUUUAAUAUGGACUUCUUUUCAGUGAUUCUGACAUUAUUUAUUUCAUUGUACCCAAAUCCGUAUACAUUAGUGAUAAAAUUUCUUAGCUAAAAAAAGAGGUUUUGAUUUUGUAUCUGGAAAGUAACUUUUUUUUUUUACAAAGUCAAGUUCAUUAACAAUAGAGUUAUUUUUAUUAUAAUUUAUUUUUUAGAGUUAGCACUUAGUAUGCUUUUCCCAUCUUACCAAUUUUAAAUUAUGAUACAAUUACAUUCUAUAACUUAUUGAAGUCUGUGUAAAGCCUUCUAAAACAGCCCCUCACUUAGGAACUGUUUUUUAAAAAGUGAAUUCCCAAACCUACUCAAGAACCAGUGAUUUAAAUGACUGCCUUUGAAAGGCUUCCUUGAGUCUAGUCAAUGGAGAUAAAUGAUAGCCCAUUUCCAUGCUGCAUACAGUUGUUAGGGUUUAUAAAGUUAUCAAUAUGUAAAAGUGCAAAAGCAGGAAAGAUGUAAAGUUGCCUAUAAAAUUUCUAGUUUUCAUUAUUUGCACUAUUUAUCUUUGCACUUGAUUUUUUGAAAGUUAAGACUAGUCACUUUCACUUUUGUUUCUAGUCUUUUCUAAUUUCUUACAGAAUUGUUUUCAAUAUCCCACCCAAAGCAAAACUUAUAUGCAAUUAAAUAUGCUUUAUAAGUCCAAGAAAAUAUUUCUUAGUGUUAGCUAUGUAGAACAAAAAAUUUGUUUUGAUAAAGUUUUUAAUAUGGGCCUUUAUUUGCCAAUAUAAUCCUUUAUAAAUGUGAGCUUUAUUAAACUAUUUGAAUAGAUAAAGUGAAAGCUUAGGGUAGAAAAUACAUAUAUAUGUGUGUGUAUAUGAAACAAUGUCUUGGAGAUCCAGCUUCCAGCCUGAGAUGGCCUGGUUUCGGAGUGUUGAUUUGUUGUCACUGAAGUCAAUGAGCUCUGAGUCUAGCCGAGUAUUGGCUUAAAAAGCUGGAAGUGAAGUGGGUGGCAAAUGACAGCUCCCUCUUUCAUGUAGUUUUCCAUAAUGCUCAUAGAGUUUCAUCAUGGUCUAUGUGAUAUAACUGGUAUUGAAAUAAUUACGUUAAAUGAAUAUUCCUUUUUGGAAUUCAAGGUUCACUCACUUUUUGAGGGGGGGAGGGUGGCAAGGGAUAAGAGACUUUAUUUUAACUAAGAAGCAUUCUUAUAACCUCAAGAUGUGCUCUAGGAAGAAUAGGAGAACAAAAUGUGUACC